UGGGGAAUCUUGCGCAAUGCACGACAGUGUGACGCAGCAACGCCGCGUGGGGGAAGAAGGCCUUCGGGUUGUAAACCCCUUUCAGGAGGGACGAAGCCCGGGCCGUUAAUAGCGGUCCCGGGUGACGGUACCUCCACAAGAAGCCCCGGCUAACUACGUGCCAGCAGCCGCGGUAAUACGUAGGGGGCAAGCGUUGUCCGGAAUCAUUGGGCGUAAAGAGCGUGUAGGCGGUCCGGUCAGUCGGUUGUGAAAGUCAAGGGCUCAACCCUUGAAUGCCGGCCGAUACUGCCGGGCUAGAGUCCGGAAGAGGUGAGUGGAAUUCCUGGUGUAGCGGUGAAAUGCGCAGAUAUCAGGAGGAACACCGAUGGCGAAGGCAGCUCACUGGGACGGUACUGACGCUGAGACGCGAAAGCGUGGGGAGCAAACAGGAUUAGAUACCCUGGUAGUCCACGCCGUAAACGAUGGGCACUAGGUGUGGGAGGUGUCGACUCCUCCCGUGCCGAAGCUAACGCA
This 513-nucleotide ribosomal RNA is filed under the name uncultured bacterium. RNAcentral's name for it is "bacterial SSU rRNA". It matches the Rfam family "Bacterial small subunit ribosomal RNA", at positions 355 to 859 of the family's 1533-position model. The record is from RNAcentral.